RNAcentral lists this small nuclear RNA (191 nucleotides) under Daphnia magna. Its description in RNAcentral is "U2 spliceosomal RNA". It matches the Rfam family "U2 spliceosomal RNA". Rfam says of the family: U2 is a small nuclear RNA (snRNA) component of the spliceosome (involved in pre-mRNA splicing). Complementary binding between U2 snRNA (in an area lying towards the 5' end but 3' to hairpin I) and the branchpoint sequence (BPS) of the intron results the bulging out of an unpaired adenosine, on the BPS, which initiates a nucleophilic attack at the intronic 5' splice site, thus starting the first of two transesterification reactions that mediate splicing. The record is from RNAcentral. Lineage: Eukaryota; Metazoa; Arthropoda; Branchiopoda; Diplostraca; Daphniidae.
AUCGCUUCUCGGCCUUUUGGCUAAGAUCAAAGUGUAGUAUCUGUUCUUAUCAGCUUAAUAUCUGAUACGGGUUCAAAUGAACCCCAGAAUAUUAAACUGAUUUUUGGAAUUCGGUGGGAUGUCAAUGCUUGCAUUGAUCCUGCCACAGGUUGACCCAGUAUUGCAGUACCUCCGGGCUCGGCUCACCCCUU